CAGCCGCCGCGGUAAAACGUAGGGUGCGAGCGUUGUCCGGAAUUAUUGGGCGUAAAGAGCUUGUAGGCGGUUUGUCGCGUCUGCUGUGAAAAUUCAGGGCUUAACCCUGGACGUGCAGUGGGUACGGGCAGACUAGAGUGUGGUAGGGGAGACUGGAAUUCCUGGUGUAGCGGUGGAAUGCGCAGAUAUCAGGAGGAACACCGAUGGCGAAGGCAGGUCUCUGGGCCAUUACUGACGCUGAGAAGCGAAAGCAUGGGGAGCGAACAGGAUUAGAUACCCGCGUAGUCCCUGUCUCUUAUAC
RNAcentral lists this ribosomal RNA (301 nucleotides) under uncultured bacterium. RNAcentral describes it as "partial 16S ribosomal RNA". It matches the Rfam family "Bacterial small subunit ribosomal RNA", at positions 509 to 807 of the family's 1533-position model. The record is from RNAcentral.